UAGGGAAUCUUCCGCAAUGGACGCAAGUCUGACGGAGCAACGCCGCGUGAGUGAAGAAGGUUUUCGGAUCGUAAAACUCUGUUGUAAGAGAAGAACAAAUUGUAGAGUAACUGCUACAGUCUUGACGGUAUCUUACCAGAAAGCCACGGCUAACUACGUGCCAGCAGCCGCGGUAAUACGUAGGUGGCAAGCGUUGUCCGGAUUUAUUGGGCGUAAAGGGGGCGCAGGCUGCUUCUUAAGUCUGAUGUGAAAGCCCACGGCUUAACCGUGGAAGUGCAUUGGAAGCUGGGAAGCUUGAGUACAGAAGAGGAAAGUGGAACUCCAUGUGUAGCGGUGGAAUGCGUAGAUAUAUGGAAGAACACCAGUGGCGAAAGCGACUGUCUGGUCUGUCACUGACGCUGAGGCCCGAAAGCGUGGGUAGCAAACAGG
Molecule: ribosomal RNA, 429 nt
Filed under: Verrucomicrobiota bacterium
Lineage: Bacteria; Pseudomonadati; Verrucomicrobiota
Description: Verrucomicrobia bacterium partial 16S ribosomal RNA
Rfam family: Bacterial small subunit ribosomal RNA
Source: RNAcentral